RNAcentral lists this ribosomal RNA (253 nucleotides) under uncultured bacterium. RNAcentral describes it as "partial 16S ribosomal RNA". It matches the Rfam family "Bacterial small subunit ribosomal RNA", at positions 524 to 776 of the family's 1533-position model. The record is from RNAcentral.
UACGUAGGGGGCUAGCGUUGUCCGGAAUCAUUGGGCGUAAAGCGCGUGUAGGCGGUUCAGUAAGUCUGCUGUGAAAGUCCAGGGCUCAACCCUGGGAUGCCGGUGGAUACUGCUGAACUAGAGUGCGGAAGAGGCGAGUGGAAUUCCCGGUGUAGCGGUGAAAUGCGCAGAUAUCGGGAGGAACACCAAUUGCGAAGGCAGCUCGCUGGGACGGUACUGACGCUGAGACGCGAAAGCGUGGGGAGCGAACAGG